GAUGAACGCUGGCGGCGUGCCUAAUACAUGCAAGUCGAGCGAACGGACGAGAAGCUUGCUUCUCUGAUGUUAGCGGCGGACGGGUGAGUAACACGUGGAUAACCUACCUAUAAUACUGGGAUAACUUCGGGAAACCGGAGCUAAUACCGGAUGAUAUUUUGAACCGCAUGGUUCAAAAGUGAAAGACGGUCUUGCUGUCACUUAUAGAUGGAUCCGCGCUGCAUUAGCUAGUUGGUAAGGUAACGGCUUACCAAGGCAACGAUGCAUAGCCGACCUGAGAGGGUGAUCGGCCACACUGGAACUGAGACACGGUCCAGACUCCUACGGGAGGCAGCAGUAGGGAAUCUUCCGCAAUGGGCGAAAGCCUGACGGAGCAACGCCGUGUGAGUGAUGAAGGUCUUCGGAUCGUAAAACUCUGUUAUUAGGGAAGAACAUAUGUGUAAGUAACUGUGCACAUCUUGACGGUACCUAAUCAGAAAGCCACGGCUAACUACGUG
Molecule: ribosomal RNA, 497 nt
Filed under: uncultured bacterium
Lineage: Bacteria
Description: partial 16S ribosomal RNA
Rfam family: Bacterial small subunit ribosomal RNA
Source: RNAcentral